AAGAAAGUAUGCAAGAACUGCUAACUCAUGCCUCCACGCUUAAACCCGUGGCUUUCUUA
This 59-nucleotide transfer RNA is filed under the name Sciurus vulgaris (Eurasian red squirrel). Its description in RNAcentral is "transfer RNA-Ser(AGY)". The record is from RNAcentral. RNAcentral also lists the same sequence under 2 other names. Lineage: Eukaryota; Metazoa; Chordata; Mammalia; Rodentia; Sciuridae.